This is a non-coding RNA of Strigamia maritima, 114 nucleotides long. The record is from Rfam. NCBI's taxonomy places the organism in Eukaryota, Metazoa, Arthropoda, Chilopoda, Geophilomorpha, Linotaeniidae.
GUCGGGUACGGUGAUAUUUGUCCGACCACGUUCAUGGGUAAAAUCGUGGGCAGCGUGUGCUGCAUUUGCGGGGUAUUGGUCAUUGCACUGCCUAUUCCCAUCAUCGUUAAUAAC